RNAcentral lists this ribosomal RNA (492 nucleotides) under uncultured bacterium. RNAcentral describes it as "partial 16S ribosomal RNA". It matches the Rfam family "Bacterial small subunit ribosomal RNA", at positions 29 to 507 of the family's 1533-position model. The record is from RNAcentral.
AGUGAACGCUGGCGGUAGGCCUAACACAUGCAAGUCGAACGGCAGCACAGUAAGAGCUUGCUCUUACGGGUGGCGAGUGGCGGACGGGUGAGGAAUACAUCGGAAUCUACUUUUUCGUGGGGGAUAACGUAGGGAAACUUACGCUAAUACCCCAAAGAACCUACGGUGGAAACCAGGGAAUCUUCGACCCUGGGCCGAUGGAUGAAGCGGAUGUCGGAUUAGCUAGUUGGCGGGGUAAAGGCCCACCAAGGCGACGAUCCUUAGCUGGUCUGAGAGGAUGAUCAGCCACACUGGAACUGAGACACGGUCCAGACUCCUACGGGAGGCAGCAGUGGGGAAUAUUGGACAAUGGGCGCAAGCCUGAUCCAGCCAUACCGCGUGGGUGAAGAAGGCCUUCGGGUUGUAAAGCCCUUUUGUUGGGAAAGAAAAGCAGCAGGUUAAUACCCCGCUGUUCUGACGGUACCCAAAGAAUAAGCACCGGCUAACUUCGUG